RNAcentral lists this ribosomal RNA (1484 nucleotides) under uncultured bacterium. RNAcentral describes it as "bacterial SSU rRNA". It matches the Rfam family "Bacterial small subunit ribosomal RNA". The record is from RNAcentral.
GAGUUUGAUCAUGGCUCAGGACGAACGCUGGCGGCGUGCCUAACACAUGCAAGUCGAACGAGAAUCUACUUAUGAAAUUUUCGGAUGGAUUAGGUAGAGGAAAGUGGCGAACGGGUGAGUAACGCGUGAGCAAUCUGCCUUGUACUGGGGGAUAACGUCGGGAAACCGGCGCUAAUACCGCAUAAUACUAUGAGAUCGCAUGGUCAUAUAGUCAAAACUCCGGUGGUACAAGAUGAGCUCGCGUCCAAUUAGCUAGUUGGUGGGGUAAUGGCCCACCAAGGCGACGAUUGGUAGCCGAACUGAGAGGUUGAUCGGCCACAUUGGGACUGAGACACGGCCCAGACUCCUACGGGAGGCAGCAGUGGGGAAUAUUGCGCAAUGGAGGGAACUCUGACGCAGCAACGCCGCGUGAAGGAUGAAGGUUUUCGGAUUGUAAACUUCUUUGAUCGGGGACGAAAUUGACGGUACCCGAGGAACAAGCCACGGCUAACUACGUGCCAGCAGCCGCGGUAAUACGUAGGUGGCAAGCGUUGUCCGGAAUUACUGGGUGUAAAGGGCGUGUAGGCGGGAAGGCAAGUCAGAUGUGAAAGCCCAUGGCUUAACUGUGGAAUUGCAUCUGAAACUGUUUUUCUUGAGUGCUGGAGAGGAAAGUGGAAUUCCUAGUGUAGCGGUGAAAUGCGUAGAGAUUAGGAGGAACACCAGUGGCGAAGGCGGCUUUCUGGACAGUAACUGACGCUGAGGCGCGAAAGCGUGGAGAGCAAACAGGAUUAGAUACUCUGGUAGUCCACGCUGUAAACGAUGGAUACUAGGUGUGGGAGGUAUCGACCCCUUCCGUGCCGGAGUUAACACAAUAAGUAAUCCACCUGGGGAGUACGUUCGCAAGAAUGAAACUCAAAGGAAUUGACGGGGGCCCGCACAAGCGGAGGAACAUGUGGUUUAAUUCGAUGAUACGCGAGGAACCUUACCCGGGCUUGAAAUGCAUUUGACCGACUCCGAAAAGAGUCUUCCCUUCGGGGCAAAUGUGUAGGUGCUGCAUGGUUGUCGUCAGCUCGUGCCGUGAGGUGUCGGCUUAAGUGCCAUAACGAGCGCAACCCUCAUCAUUAGUUGCUAACAGGUUAAGCUGAGGACUCUAAUGAGACUGCCAUCGUAAGAUGUGAGGAAGGUGGGGAUGACGUCAAAUCAGCACGGCCCUUAUGUCCGGGGCGACACACGUGUUACAAUGGAUGGUACAACAGGCAGCUACUAGGCGACUAGAUGCUAAUCCCAAAAACCAUUCUCAGUUCGGAUCGAAGUCUGCAACUCGACUUCGUGAAGCUGGAUUCGCUAGUAAUCGCGCAUCAGCCACGGCGCGGUGAAUACGUUCCCGGGCCUUGUACACACCGCCCGUCAAGCCAUGGAAGCUGGGGGUACCUGAAGCACGUAACCGUUAAGGAGCGUGUUAGGGUAAAACUGGUAACUGGGGCUAAGUCGUAACAAGGUAGCCG